GAUGAAGAACGUAGCGAAAUGCGAUAAGUAAUGUGAAUUGCAGAAUUCAGUGAAUCAUCGAAUCUUUGAACGCACAUUGCGCCCGCCAGCAUUCUGGCGGGCAUGCCUGUUCGAGCGUCAUUUCAACCCUCAAGCUCUGCUUGGUGUUGGGGCCCUACGGUUGACGUAGGCCCUUAAAGGUAGUGGCGGACCCUCUCGGAGCCUCCUUUGCGUAGUAACUAACGUCUCGCAUUGGGAUUCGGAGGGACUCUUGCCGUAAAACCCCCAAAUUUUCUAAUGGUUGACCUCGGAUCAGGUAGCAAUACCCGCUGAACUUAAGCAUAUCAAUAAGCGGAGGA
This 338-nucleotide unclassified non-coding RNA is filed under the name soil metagenome. Its description in RNAcentral is "partial contains 5.8S ribosomal RNA, internal transcribed spacer 2, and large subunit ribosomal RNA". The stretch from base 1 to 120 matches the Rfam family "5.8S ribosomal RNA", at positions 35 to 154 of the family's 154-position model. The record is from RNAcentral.